RNAcentral lists this ribosomal RNA (889 nucleotides) under Staphylococcus aureus. RNAcentral's name for it is "bacterial SSU rRNA". Lineage: Bacteria; Bacillati; Bacillota; Bacilli; Caryophanales; Staphylococcaceae. The record is from RNAcentral.
AGAAGUUUGAUUCAUGGCUCAGGAUGAACGCUGGCGGCGUGCCUAAUACAUGCAAGUCGAGCGAACGGACGAGAAGCUUGCUUCUCUGAUGUUAGCGGCGGACGGGUGAGUAACACGUGGAUAACCUACCUAUAAGACUGGGAUAACUUCGGGAAACCGGAGCUAAUACCGGAUAAUAUUUUGAACCGCAUGRUUCAAAAGUGAAAGACGGUCUUGCUGUCACUUAUAGAUGGAUCCGCGCUGCAUUAGCUAGUUGGUAAGGUAACGGCUUACCAAGGCAACGAUGCAUAGCCGACCUGAGAGGGUGAUCGGCCACACUGGAACUGAGACACGGUCCAGACUCCUACGGGAGGCAGCAGUAGGGAAUCUUCCGCAAUGGGCGAAAGCCUGACGGAGCAACGCCGCGUGAGUGAUGAAGGUCUUCGGAUCGUAAAACUCUGUUAUUAGGGAAGAACAUAUGUGUAAGUAACUGUGCACAUCUUGACGGUACCUAAUCAGAAAGCCACGGCUAACUACGUGCCAGCAGCCGCGGUAAUACGUAGGUGGCAAGCGUUAUCCGGAAUUAUUGGGCGUAAAGCGCGCGUAGGCGGUUUUUUAAGUCUGAUGUGAAAGCCCACGGCUCAACCGUGGAGGGUCAUUGGAAACUGGAAAACUUGAGUGCAGAAGAGGAAAGUGGAAUUCCAUGUGUAGCGGUGAAAUGCGCAGAGAUAUGGAGGAACACCAGUGGCGAAGGCGACUUUCUGGUCUGUAACUGACGCUGAUGUGCGAAAGCGUGGGGAUCAAACAGGAUUAGAUACCCUGGUAGUCCACGCCGUAAACGAUGAGUGSUAAGUGUUAGGGGGUUUCCGCCCCUUAGUGCUGCAGCUAACGCAUUAAGCACUCCCCGCCC